CACGCCUCCUUCCGUACUGUGAGGCGAAAAAAUGUCUUGAGCUCAUUUCAAGCCUGGAUCUCCUACAUAUGAAGAAAGCGCUCUAACCACUACGCUACGGCUGCAUUAGCAAGAAACAGCUGUAUUUCCAAUUGAACCGACUUCAAAAAAAGAUCCUUUUGAGAAGCUACGGUUUCCACUAAGCGAUGCUAAGUACCAGAAAAAGAAAACGUUGAAAAUUGUCGUUGGCCAACAGAAGAAAAGGAUAACCAUGCAAUAAAAAUGAUGGCAACGAUGGAAGAUUUUAGUGCUUUUGAAAGAGAGUUGUUAGACGAACAGAAACGUUCAAUCAUGAGAAAAUCUUUACGUCAAGUCCGUGGUUUGGAUGCGGAAGACCAAGUAAAAAUGAUUCUGGAAAGGUACACUUUCUUUUAGCUAAACAACAUUGCAGCUUUCUAGUCUUUAUUUUUGUUCAUGUGUGACUCAUCUGUGUUGAAUCACACAUGAACAAAAAUAAGACUCUUUUAUAUUGACUUCUAAUGAUAUCGACUGUUUUUAUAAUUUUAUGUUGUUAGGUAAAGCAUCAUUAUAUUUCACGCUAAAAUUGAGCUUUGAACAAUAAGUUUAUCUAGUUUAAAUAAAUAACAACUCGCAAGGUGAAUUAUCUUUUCGUUUUUGAUAGUCCUUAGUCAAUAACGGAUUUUUAAAUUGUUAUGAGUCUCAACACUUAAUUUCAACGAAAUUAAAUUAAAAAGUUACGUCAUAGAAGACAAGAAAAACAUCAGCAUCUGUUUUUGAUAACUUGUCUUUCAUUGCAAAUCUGAGAGGUGCAAAUGCUUAGUUUGCUUCAAGUACUACAUAAUAUAAUACAUCGUUACUACAUAAUAUAAUACAUUCAUUUUGAUAAUAAUAAAUUUCUUUAGCAUGCUCAUUUAUUAUAUUUUUAGCCUGUGUACCGUUGGACUUCUGUCCCAAUUUAACUUAGUCGGGACAAAAACAAAGGACCGCGGUGGAAAUAAGAGGGGGUUGAAAGGAUAAGCCGUUUUUGAAUUAAUAGUCGUCGCAGCCAGCUCGUAUAAAAAGACUUCUCAACGAGGAUAGUUAGUUUUGUUCAGAGAAAGCUGAAGAAGGCCCCGGGGGUUGCGUAGGCAACAAUGCCAAGAACAGAGGAGAAAGCUCAAGAAACAGAGGAAAAAGAGGAAGGUGAAAAUAAUGUGGAAUUUGGAGAUGAAUCUGCUGAUGACUCUUAAUUUAUUUAACUUAAUUUAGCUUAAUUCAUUUACUCACUACUUAAUAAACUCUUAUUUAAUUAAUAUAUU
Long non-coding RNA from Hydra vulgaris (swiftwater hydra), 1298 nucleotides. RefSeq lists it as uncharacterized. NCBI's taxonomy places the organism in Eukaryota, Metazoa, Cnidaria, Hydrozoa, Anthoathecata, Hydridae. The record is from RefSeq and is a predicted model, not a curated record.